RNAcentral lists this long non-coding RNA (785 nucleotides) under Fragaria vesca (wild strawberry). Its description in RNAcentral is "long non-coding RNA (FVES_LNC001986)". Lineage: Eukaryota; Viridiplantae; Streptophyta; Magnoliopsida; Rosales; Rosaceae. The record is from RNAcentral.
UCAAAUUUCUGCUCGGGAUCUCGUGAAUACAAGUCCACGUAUUCUUCUCCUUGCUGAAGUUGUUGCUCGCACCUUCUUUGACAUUGCUGUUUUUGUUGCCAAUCCCCACCUUGUUGCCUCUGGCAGCGCUGCUGGCACAUCUGACGUGCGCAUUGUUGACGGCAUUGUUGUUGGCCUUGUUGCCGGGACUGGCACCUUUGCUGGCAUUGCUCAAAUCCUUUCUCGGGAUCUCUUGAGUACAAGUCUACGUAUUCUUCUCCUUGUUGUAGUUGUUGCUCGCACCUUCUUUGGCACUGCUGUUGUUGUUGCCAAUCCCCACCUUGUUGCCUCUGGCAACGCUGCUGGCAUAUCUGCUGACGCUCGUAUUGGCUCAAUUGUUGUGCACACUGUUGACGGCAUUGUUGUUGUUGCUGGCCACCACGUUGCCUAGAUUGACAGCUCUGCUGGCAUUGCUCAAAUCGUUGUUCAGGAUCUCUAGUUGGGUUAAUCAUGUUCUGUUCGAUUUCUCUUCCUUGCUGCAAUUGCUGCUGGCACCUUUUGUUUGAAUAAAAACGUUAUCAGUCAUCUUUUAAGCCACAUAAGCCAUCAGUUCAAUCACUCUAAAACUAUAAUAAUUACCUUGAUUGGCACUGUUGUUGCUGUUGCCUAUCGCCUCUUUGUUGCCUCUGACAACGCUGCUGGCAUAUUUGUUGGCGCUCUUGGUGGCUCAAUUGCUGCCCGCAUUGUUGACGACAUUGUUGAAUCCCUUGUCCACGGAAGGGUUGCUGUUGGUCGCACCUCCGCAG